Molecule: long non-coding RNA, 7529 nt
Organism: Falco peregrinus (peregrine falcon)
Lineage: Eukaryota; Metazoa; Chordata; Aves; Falconiformes; Falconidae
Exons: 3
Source: RefSeq, a predicted model, not a curated record
CUGCUCUCCAGGAGAGGGCAGUGCAUUCCCAGGAUCGGUUGGCUCCCAUUGCUCUCUUAAUUCAAGAAGUUUAACUACAAACUCUGACGAAGACAGAAAGUUUCUUUGUCAUGGCACAACCAAGACCUCAAGAGGACCAUGUGAGGGAUAUUUCUGCAAAUGGCAGGUGAUGAGUCAGACUGCUUUUCUUCACUUACAGUCAUCCCUGUCCUCCCUCUACCUGUCUCUGCCAGGAGUCAAGAGCUGUAAUGGGGUGAUCCUUUUCUACAGCCUCUCUUCCUGAUUGGUUAACAGAAAAAAAAAAAAAAAAGGCAGAACGUGGUGUGCAGUCAUGUUAUUCAAGCACUAGAAAAGGAAGGACAAGGCACAGUGCAUUCCUCUCAGCUCUUACAUUCUAGAUGGAGGAGAGAGCAUCUAUCACCUGAGUAAUAAUCUCAGAACUGAACUACAAAGACUAACAGAGAAUUUUUUAUUUGCUUAGAGUCAAGCAGAAAUUUGAAAUACAGUCAUAAACAAUAAAACGGGAGAUCAGUGAAUAUACUGACAGGACCAAAGAAUCAGAAAACCAAACUUCUAAGAGCAAUGUACUUUCUACAGGCUUGCAGUAAGGAUAGAAAAAGAUAAGCAGUCAGUGGGUUAGAAUGAAGAACUUGCUACAGAGCUGAAGGACAGAGGAAUUCAUUGAGAGGGAAGGGUACUGGCUGUUUAUAUUAGGGAGGUAGUAUUACAUUAGGAAUAUGUAACAGUUCACUGUGUUAGCUGGAAAUUGAAACUAGACCUUUCCUAAAUUAUUUUUAGUGCAUUUGCUAUUUCACCAUCUACCCACGUUACAGUUAAAUCCACUUUCUACAAGUUCCUUCAGAGUCUGAGACAAGUGCUAAAGAUCAGUGUGUUUGGUAGGCAGGGGGAUGCAUCCUCCAAGGGGCUAACAAUGACCAUACCACAGUCUGUGUUCCCUCCUGCUGUCAGUAGUGCAAUGUAUUCUCUAGGUGGACAAUCAUAAACAAUUAGGCACAUAAAUAUAUCUGCAUAACCAAGACUAAGUUUGAGAACCUUUUCUAUUGCAGUACUCAAAGGGAACAUGAGCCACAUUGUUCUUUUUCAGAUAAUUUUAUACCUUCCUCUUCCCCUUCAUUGCAAAUUUUGCUCCUGUGAACUUGAGGAAGGGCAGGGGUUUCUGUUUGUCUCUCAUUUUAUUAAGCUGUGGUUGCGCCUUGUGACAUCUCCCUUGCCCUGGCACACUCCCCAGUCCUAAGUCAUCUGCCACUUUUGCCAGGUCUUUAGUGCAACCUGCCACAGUGCCAGGAUCAUACUUUCUCUUGCUGACUCAGAAGUGCACACAAAAGACUGCCUUCACCUCAGCAACUACAUCUACAACCCAUCUCAGAGGGUGAUCUGCAUCCAUGCCCAGAGGUGGAUGCACUACUGACUCCCUGGGUAAAUACAUAUAGUCUUGUCCUCGUCCCCUGCUCAUCCCAAUGCUGCAAUGUUCUUGCAGUAGUCCUAGUCCUUCCAGUCUGACUGGUAAUGAUUUCAGUAUCAGGAUGUCCUUUGUCUGUUGAAGAGGGGACAAAGACUACGUCUAUACUAGUAAACUAAACAUAGCCAGAGCCUGGGCUUGCACACUGUCCCGUGAUGGUGCAAGUUAUUCAGUUGUUGACACAUUCCCUGGCAUAGCUCUGGCCCAUGCUGGCUAGCAUGGUCUCACAUAAUGCUAAAACAUAGUGUGGGGGCUGGGAGUCUGGGGACUUUCCCAGUGAGCAGUGUAACUGUCCAUUUCAUUCUUGAUAAAACCUAGCAAUGUCUGUAGAAUCUUAACUACACUCUACAAAUGUUCUGCAUGGCCGAGUAACACCUGGUGACAUAGUAUUCCUCUUACUGACAUUCACUAGAAUAUACAUGCAACUGCAGAAAAUAUCCAUUUUUUAAAAAUUCACAUUUGAACCAAACUAUAUCUUUCAUAAGCAGAAGCUCACCAUAAAAUUAAAAAUGUUGUUAGAAAUAGAGAAGACAACACGGGAGUUAGUUAUAAUUUUUAGGUCCAAGGACCCAUGAAUGUAUAUGCAUGUGAAUUUGAGUAGGGAUUCCUAUCUAGCAAUAGUUCUACUGAAUUGCACAGUGAAGGCUGGAUGGGACAGUGAAGGCAAUGGUCUUCCUCUCACCAAGAACUUUGAAGAACUCAAUUGAUUUCUGUCUUGAAUCACAAGUUACAAAAUCGCCAACAGUUUCACAAAAAAACUUUUCACACACAUAAAAAAUUGUUGAUCUAAAAAGUGUGAUUUGAGAUGGAACAGAAAAUAAGAGAUGAGCUGUCAGCAGAUUUAAACAGAGAUUUAUGUGGGAAGAAGUAAUGAUACACUGGAAGGAUUUGGGGGAAAAUGACAGAUAAGAAAACUGAAAAGGACAAGAGUUAGUUAAAUUAAUCAUAUCACUCUUAUCAUUUCCAUUUCAGUUUUCAGCUAAGGGCAGGCUUGCUAGCCAUUAUUGCUUUGCCAUAUAAAACACAGUCCAGGCUACUGAUAAAUGUCAAGCUCUUCAAUUCUUCCACCUAUUACUGUCUAAAGCACUUUAAAGGCUAUUGCAGCUCUCUCAAAUAUUUAUAAAGAGACAGUUUUGGAAAGCAGACAGCUACUUUGCCAUAUGUCUGAAUUGCUGUUCCUCAAUGUGUUUUUGAAGAGUAAUGACAACUCUUAAUAUUUUUAAGGACAAUUUAAAGGGACCCUCCUCAUUGACAUUUAGUCCACAACUUAAGUUUUGCAAAAAAAUGACUAAAGGAUCAUUUUUAAUGUUUGGGCACAUGAUUUAUUUUAUCAAGCACAUUCCCUUCUACUUUCAAGUACUGUAAAGCAACUGUGUGGCAAGCAAGAGCAACCGGCUAACAUAAGACAAAAAAAUGCAAACUAAACAUACACAUUUGGGAAAUCCCUUCCUGUUCUGCUGUGACAAUGUGGGAUUACCAAGCUCCAGGCUUGGCAUUUCUUUCCCGUGACAGACACUAAAAGAAACUGUUCCAUAGUAAUCCAAGCCUCUCUCUCUCGAUAGCACUCCUCUGAACUUGAAGACUGCAUUGACAUAUAAGCAUCUGUAAUGAACAGCAGAAAUCAGUCCCUUAAUUUAAUGUAUGUGUUUAAAUUUAAAAAACAAUAAUAACCCUCCAUAACCUUCAUGAAAUAGGUAAAAAUGAGUUAGAAAAAUCAUGCAGAUUAGUAGGCAGUCACAGGAAUGUCUGGAAAUAAAGAACAGAAGGCAUUUGUAAGGGUGUCUGGACCGACUUCAUGCAACAGAUGGUACUUGGUAGGAGCACUUGCAUUUCAAUUUCACUUCUGCACGCUGCUUGUUUUGUAUUAGGGAAGCAAAAUCUCACAUGUGGCUGUAAAAUUUCUUCAAAUGUAAUUUUUCAUGAGUUUUAUUUAGGAGAUUAAUGUUCAGGAUUUUAAAAAAAAAUAUUGUUAUCCUUUUAUUUAUUUCUUCUUCAUCCUCAUUUUCAUUUCCCCCCCACUCUGCCAAUACAUGCAAUAAAAGAUGUGAUGUCCAGUAUUUUGAUUUUACAUAUAUCUUUAGUUGUGUUCAUUUCUGAUAUGUUCUUCUAUUUACUUACAUAUAAAAGGAAAACUAGAACUCUCUACUUUGUCAGUCAGCAGACUUUUAACAUACAGUGUUAGUUCCCUUGGGAUCAAAAGGCCCUACUUUCUACCCACGACUAAGGAAAUUUUGCAGCAUGCCCACAAGAUCAAGAAACAAUCAAUAGUACUGAGCAGAGUUUUAGCAGAACUUUUUACAACAAAAAUGACCUUUUUUUGCUUCCGACCUAUUUUGUGCUUCUGUAGCACAGCUGUAUCCCCUCUGCAUUCCCAGGGUUUUUUGACGCGGUCUCUGGAUGCUCACAAAUGCCAUAAUACUGCCAUCAUGUCAUGUUGGUGGUGGUAUAGCAUCAGGGCCUCUUACCAGCUUGCUUCCUACAAUAAUUUAUAUCUAAACUCCUGAAAUAAAAACACAGAAUGAAAAUAUCAGCAUUCUGGAAAUCUGAAACCAGCUGUUGUAGGAAGGUAUAAAGUAUUUUUCUGACCUGUUUAAUGUGAGUUUUAUUUACUGGAGAGUCAUCAUCACAGAUACAGCAUAAUCCCAUGUUGCUGUUUGUUCAUGCUAGAGACACAUUAUUUCAGUAACUGUUUUGGAAGUGAUCAAGAAACCUGGUAAUAAACAUUCUUCUACUGGCCUUUAUACAGUAAGUUUUUCAUGUUUCCAGUUGUCUCCUUUAUGCUUGCAGUAAAAUAUGCCUACUGUGUGGUAUGUGUACUGACAGCUGACCAGUCCACUAAGAUUGGCUCAUAUUCAAAGUGCUGACCAGUCUCAGGUGGCUUUUGCACUGGGCCAGUUACGGGGAGACAUUCUCUGACUUUUGCAGGGAGGAUUUUAUCUUGAUAAUACGUUUUCCAACACAGUUGGACUUCUGAAGUAUGUUCUGCAUUUCCUUUAACAGCAAUCAAGCAGAAACAUGACCAAGCUGAACAUGAUCCCACUCCACCAGACUCACGAGUAUAGCAUCAGUAGGUUAAAUGAACGGCAGUACUGGAAAGAAAAAUGUGACAAGUCAGCUGGAAGAGCAAAGUUGGAGAGAGCAGGAAAAAGUGAGGGUAAUAAACAAGAAUCGGGUAUGAGGAGAAGCACUGCAGGGUACAGAGAAGUAGAAGAACCCUGCCCUAAAGAGCAGCCAAACUGAAGUCCAUUCUUCUAUGCACAAUAACUGGACUUUGUCAAACAUUUUAGUGGCUGGGUUAUGCCACAAGUCCAUAUGAAUAAAUUCAGCCUUAUCAAUAAAAACACUCUAAAUUCACAUGUAAAGCAAAUUCCUGAUUCAAAAUUAAGCAAGCACAGAAGAAUCUGAAUAUUCUCUCAUACUUAAAUAUAUCUUACCAAAGAAAAUAAAAAUCACAGUAGAGAACAUAGUGGGGAGAAGGAAGGAGGAAACAUACAUACUGUGGCCUUUACUCUCUGGGAUGCCACAGUAAUCUAAUCUGGUAGCAGGACUGGUUGUGAAUGGUCUAUUUUCAUUCUCAUCAGGAUUCCUGCAGUAGUUUUCUUCAAACCCCCAUGAGUAAAAUUUUCAUGUGUAAAGGCGUAAUAGAAAGAAAAAUAACAUUACAGAAGAGCUUUUUUUUUUUUUUUCCAAAUAUUUGUGGCUCAGUUCAUGCAACAUGAGAGCCAAGAAAUGGACAUUUGUCUUGUGGAUCUGAUAUCUCUGCUUGAAUAUUUUUCCAUAAGAUAAACUGUCAUAAAAAGUCUCUCUAUCACCACUGGAAUGCCCUGAAGAACCAUCAGCCUCAUGUCCCCAGCUUACAGAAAAUUCAAGUGUCUCAAAGGUCAAGUACUCCUCUGUAUUUUCAAGCAGCUGAUCUAUUUGACUUUUAUUGUUAUGUCUAUUGUUUCUAACUUACAAGGUUUAGAAGAGGUUCAUACAAAGAAAUGUGACAUUUUCUUCAGAAGACACAGAGAAAGGACACUGGAUAAACAACGGAGGGUUUCCAGUAACACAAAUGUCAUAUCUUUAUGAAUCUAGCUGAAGAGCAGAUAGACCUCACAUGCUUCUCAUACAGUAACAAUAACAUAUUAGCAGUGACGAGGCUUAUCAAUAUAACAGCAUUAUUUCAGUUUCAUUCUUCACAUACUAUCUCUUACCUAAACAACAAAAUCCUGGCCCCAAUUAAGGAUGAAAUAUUCAUUAUGUUAUUUUUUUCUAAGUGAGUGUUUUGCUUGAACAAGAACUACAAAAACUGGAAGCAUAUGAUGCCAUUCUAAUCAAAAUGGGACAAAUUACACAGUGUCUUAAAGGCAUAUCUGUCUUGCUUAUUUUUGUGGCAAGAGAUUAAAGUCAGAGUGAGAGAGAUGUAAAGGAAAUUAUUCAUUAUAAGUUAACCUCAGCAAUAAUUAACUAUCUUCAAUAACCUAUAGUAUAGAAUUGCUUAAAGCACACUAUUAAUGGAUAAUUCGAAAGGAUCAUUCAUAAUUUUUAGACAAAUAAUUGAUAUGUGGAGUGUGCUACCUGCCCACUUCUGGCAUGGAAUCCCCUUCUGAGUUAAGUAUUUUAUUCCUCUGUAAUCCUCCUCCAUUCUUUUCUUGCACUCUGGAAGGUAAAUUGAAACAAAUACACUGCUGAUGAAUCAAUAUCACCUUACGUCUUACCUAACUGACAUUCCGCACUAGUUAUAACAUAUUUAGCAAAUUUCAAACCUCAGUCCUACACAAACAUGCAUUUUAUUCCACUAUCAUCAAUAAAAAUUUAGAGAUACUAAGAGUACUUGUACAAGGAAACUCAUUAAAGGUGUCCUGCUAAAGGAAAGCCCUGCUGAAACUGAGGGGGCAUCAUAUGAGGAGCAAUAGGCCAUUUUGUGCUCCUGCUACAGUUUCUGACACUGUGUGACUUUAUCUCCAGCUUCCCAUGUAGUAUUUGCAUUAAAAUGUUAUUUCUGUCAUUUCAUUCUUCUGGGAGUGAUAUAGGGUAGUGUUGCUGGAAUCGGUAAUGAGGAGCAUAGGAGAAGGCAGGGCAAAGACAGAGCUUUCAGCAGUACAGAGCAUUCCCUCCAAAGACAAAUAUUAGCUUAGUGCAUGGAAGAGGGGUUUUCCUUAUCAGUGCCCCGAGACUUCACAUAAUUUCAUUUUAGAUCUCACUUGCCAUGCCCUUGCAUGUUAGCUCUUUAUCUUGUAAUUGCCUUGUUCACGAAGGAGUCAGGAGGAUAAAUAUAUGCAAAGCUAUGAAUUAAUCAAAUGUGAUAGCAAAGAGGACCUUGGAAAUAAGCAGACAGUAAGACAGAACACUUCUCUAAUACCCCCUUAUAUAAUUAUAAAUCAAUGAAUUUGUGAGCCAUCUGUGACUCUCCAUCUCUAAUCUCAAAUUUCUUGUGUUCUUCAAAAUGGUUCCAGUUCAGCUACUCAUUCAUUUUUGCUCUUAUAGAAAUAUGUGUUCUAGCUGGUUCAAGCUGAACAGAAGAGAAUUUUGGUGGGAAGCAUACUCAAGUGGGAGUGAGACCUAACUGAAUCUCUAAGCAGCAGCAAGAAAAGGAAAUGUGUCUUAAACUGUCUGAUAAGAGCUUCAAAACAAAAAAUUAAAAACUGAUUUCAAAACAUAAGCAACAUUCAUCCUCAUGGUUUGAAGCCCAUUCUAAGCACAGGAAAAUUGAUCAGUGCAACCAUAAAAAUAAACUGAUCUAUUUGCUUUGUAGACACUUCUCUUAGAAAUUAACUUAGAUUAAUCCAAAAUAUUUAAGAGGCACAAUACCUCAUUACCUGGAAGUAAUAAGGAUGAUCAGAUAAAAUAAUGCUUUCUUAAUAACCCAAUGUACACACAGAACAUGACUGCUAUAUUUUAAUUUUUCGAUAUAUUUAUCAUAUAGUAUUUCUGAAUUACUACAUAAUUGUACAAAAUGUAUUGACAUGCUUGUUACUGUACCUUAAAAAUGCAGCUACAACAAUCAAAUAGGCCUAUCUAAUGCCUAAAUGAAAAUAUUUAUUAUUAUGAAAAUAAAUAUCAAACA